Molecule: ribosomal RNA, 253 nt
Filed under: uncultured bacterium
Lineage: Bacteria
Description: partial 16S ribosomal RNA
Rfam family: Bacterial small subunit ribosomal RNA
Source: RNAcentral
UACGUAGGGUGCGAGCGUUAAUCGGAAUUACUGGGCGUAAAGCGUGCGCAGGCGGUUCGUUGUGUCGGCGGUGAAAUCCCCGGGCUCAACCUGGGAAUGGCCGUUGAAACUGGCGAACUGGAGUGUGGCAGAGGGGGGUGGAAUUCCGCGUGUAGCAGUGAAAUGCGUAGAUAUCGUGAGGAACACCAGAGGCGAAGGCGGCUACCUGGACAAUUGCUGACGCUCAGGCACGAAAGCGUGGGGAGCAAAAGGG